UGCUGCCUCCAACAGAUGUAUCACUAGAAUCUUCUUGAUCAGAUCGUAGCAUGCUAAUCACUUUGCAGAAUGAAUGCGUUGUAAUGAUGAAAUCCAGCUACUUGAAGGGCCAAUUUUGCUGCUGUUUCCUUGAGCAGGAUUUGCAGGUUCAGUGGGCAAAACAGGCUUUGGGGCAUUUCUUUUUGAGGUCCCAGCAAGUGAAAAGGAAGUGGAAGGGAUGUGUGCAUCAGUUACAGUAUUCUUAUCAACAUGAUUGUCAGAGCUCAAAUUCUUGCCCAUUGCUGAUUUGAAUUGCAUGCGUACACCAGGACCAUUAGAUCUCAUGAUGUCAGAGGAAUAUUGAGCAUUAUUGCUUCCUUGAGGGUUCUCCAUAUCUGUUGGCACUAUAUGGCUACUACUUGCACCAGGAACUGGAGAUGAACGAGGUUGACUUCUACUCUUUUGUGCCUGCUGAUA
This 456-nucleotide unclassified non-coding RNA is filed under the name Hevea brasiliensis (rubber tree). The record is from RNAcentral. Lineage: Eukaryota; Viridiplantae; Streptophyta; Magnoliopsida; Malpighiales; Euphorbiaceae.